Molecule: long non-coding RNA, 5813 nt
Filed under: Taeniopygia guttata (zebra finch)
Lineage: Eukaryota; Metazoa; Chordata; Aves; Passeriformes; Estrildidae
Description: lncRNA (ENSTGUG00000025102.1)
Source: RNAcentral
CUCGGUAAGGAGGGCCAUUCACUUGUGAAAGGAAGAAGCACUGCAACCUGCUGUCAGCCUGGAAUGUUGGUGUAAAAUCCAUAAAAUCCAUGCAGUUAUGCUGCCUUCACAGUGAAGCCUCCAGCCAGAUGGAAUUUGCAUGUGUGAGGAGUUUGUGCUGGGUGGAAAUAUCUGAAAUACUGCAGUUACCUGUUGGUUGAAGAACAAGCAUCCAUGGAUGAAUUGUCCCACUGACUGACCAAUACCACACAAUAAAAAAGUCCCUUUCCUGCUGGGGUUUAGCAGUGCUCUUGUUUCCAUGUCUGCACAGACACCAUGCAUGCUGCAAAUUAAAUGAUAAAAUUAAAAAUACAAUGUUCCCUACUGGUUUGUGUUUAUGCAACAGAGAGAGCCAAGGAGAAGAUGUGACCCAUACACUCUGGUUAUAGAACUGUCAUCUUAUGGAAAUUUACUAUUUUGGUAAUCCUAGGUACUCCUCUGGGACUCUGGCCUUUGUCUGUGUUGAUAUUUCCACCUGGAGGAGCUGAGGCCUAGAACAAGUUGCUCAAAUAAAAUGCCAUAACACUGCCAAGCCAAAGGAAAUACCAGUGGUGGAAGAUAGAUGGAUAAGCAAAUUCAGUGGGUUACUUGCAGGGAACUUGGAGCUACUCAGACAUGUGAAGGGAAGAAUAUUCACUGAAGAAGCAGAGUGGAACUCUCCUCCAUUUAAAGGUAUUCGUCGACUGAAGUGGGAAUAUUCAAAGCAUAUUUUUCACCUAUUAAGCAAGUACCAGCUGCUGGAACAGAAAGAGAAUGGAUCCAGCAGGCUCCUUCCUUUGCUCUGAGAGCUCUGAGAGCAUCUCAAAGGCUGCCCUAGGCUCUAAUGUCUGGUAAAAGAUCCCAGAGGAUGAGAAUUGGUGAUGACAACUCCAGCAACACAAACUCCCAUCUCUCUCCUGCCUGGAUAUGACUUCAGAGGAAUUUUCUUAAGGAUGUGGGAUGCCCUUCACAUAUAACAUGAAUGUUUUAAUAUAUGGAAAAUUCAGUCAAACCGUGGUAUCUCCAAUACAAAAAUAGCUGGUUCUCCUUCUCUACCAUUCCUGCAACAAUAAAGCCACUAUUGAACCUUUUGUGUUUAUUCAAAGAGCAGCAAAACUUACUGGGAACCAGGAAUUACUUAAUAAUAAUGAGUGUGACUAAGUAAAAGGCCUAAAAGACAGCUCAGACAUCUAAAAAUACAAUUAAAGAGACAUGAUUAGAAACAACUGAAUGAUAUUAAAGAGCAGUGAAGGAUUGGUUUUGGAGCAGAAAAGCUUUCUGACAAAAAUACCAGUCUAAGUUUACAAGAGCUGUUUACUACACAAAAUGCUGGAAGCAUUGAUGGACUAGUCAAAUUUAUGGAAUCACCAGAAAUUCAGUGCAAGCCAGAAAAAUUGUUUGGUGAAAGUCCUCUAAGUGCAUGCCAUUUCUAACUCCUGUUAGUGCUGGGUGCUGUGGGACUUCGAGUUCUGAGCAAGAUAAAAUUAGAAAGCAACACAAGCCUCAGAAGUUGUUCCUCUUUCAGCUAUUUCUGAGGGCACCUUUAAUUGGCAAUAUUCAAAUACAAACUCCUCCAGAUAUGAGUAAGGACACAGUCUUCAACUCUCUCCUAAAUUAUUCCAGGUUUCUCAGUGAAAGAUAAUUUUAGUGUAAGCUAGUUAUCUCCAUUUAGAAUAUUAGGAGAGCAACUUGGGUAGAUUCUGAGCUAAACUUUCUUGAGACUGGUUUGCAAUGAAAGAGAGAGAAAAGUAGCACAGUAAAGUAAUCAGCAACAGAAUGACUUUUGGAAAGCUUUGAUAUGUUCACAAGGCUCUGAACACUGAAAAAUAUGUAUAAAUUAUAUUUAUGUCUUAAUAAACACCUCAGAAGGGAAUGAAGAACCACUUCUUGGGUUGAUGGUCUGGCUGCAGUAAUGCAUUGCAGCCCUGAGCAGAGAGCUGCUGUUUGUAUCCCUCUCACAUUUAAAACAGCACAAUGUUCUGACUAAACAUAAUUUGUCAAGGAUGUCUGAUUCUAUCUCCAGUUUCUACACGUGAUGAAAAUUCAUUGACAGCAGGUGAGGUUCUUGCACACUCAAGGCAGGCUGUGAGAUUCCUGACAGAGGAACAGGAGCUGGCAGUGCUGCUGGGGCCACCAGGAGAGCUGAGGGCCACACUUCUGCAGUGUCACCCAUUUUUCACCACAACAGUGUCACAGAGACCAAAAUGCAGUUCACCUCCCGUAACCUGUUUUCCCUUUUGCCAUGGGAUAACGCAUCUUCUGAAUGCCAUUUGUUCUAAAAAAGGAUCUCAAACAAACUGAAAACAAUCACCUGUGGAAACUUAAUGCUGUAUAGUAUUUAUAUUAUAAUAUUUGUGGAAUUGGUGAUAUAUCCUUCAAAAGGUAAAACACCCCAAGUAUUAUAUAAAAAAACAUACAGUUCUUGUUCUAGGUUUUGGCAGCAUUUUUAGGAAAUCUCUGAAUAUCUAAAGAAUAAUAAUAAAAGAGUAAUGUUUUAAACAUUUGAAUCUAAAGAAUAAUAAUAAUAAAAGAGUAAUGUUUAGAACAUUUAUUUAAUAUAAACUUCCAAUUGUAUGACCCCACAGCAGUUCAGAAAGUAUCCUUCUCAGUGUAAUGAGGUACAAUGUUCUGAUAUCAAGGUCAGUUCUUUGAUUCAGUGCUGUCAAGUGCCUCCAAAUAUUGCUAAUUAGGCACAAAUCAGCAUUUGUUUUGAAUCCUUUUUAUAGUGGGUAGAUCUGGUUGCCAGCAAAAUGAGGUCAAAGUCAACAGAGGGGCAAUGAUGUCUGUAUUUCCGGCCUCCACUCAUUUAAAAGCUCAUCUCAUUUCCACUUCAUCAUGUUUAAAAUAGAAAUGAAUUUCACAAAGUAGAUUGAAAUCCAUGAGCAAUUAAAAAAAAUAAAAUUGUGAGUCAAACGCUGUUAUCACUCUGCUAGAGAACUGGACUAUCAUUGCUUCAGUAACACAGCAAAAAUUGGUCCCAUAAUUGACACUGGAUAGAUAGCUGGAAAGCAAAAUAAUGAAGUUGCUCGGGGUGAAUUUGAAGAAGUGAAGUCUUUUAACUAAAGACAAAAUAAUUGGAAAGUUUUAGCUAAGAAAUAAUGGGGAAAUGAACAGAACACUACCAUAAAAGAAGCAUGUGUGUGUUUAGAUAAAAAAAUAGAGCAAUUGAGAAGAAGACAGCAUUGGCAGUGAUUAGAAAAGACAGAAAAUUAGAGAAAAUGACAAAAUGUUAUGCACAGAUGUUGCCUUCUUUAAAGUCAGAAUUUUCUGUGGAGUUGUAUGAAAAGAGAAGUAGAAGUUAGGGUGAAGAAAUGAGACCACAUCACUGCAGAGGGAAUCUUCCUCUAAUGAAGAAUAAAUCACCUGUGGAUUAAUGGUUUCCUCUGGGGCUGGGGUACACAAUGCACUCUGCACUGUUUUUCCCUGAUUUUUUCUGCUGCAUUAAGGUAUGGAAAUUUGGCAGGAAAUAAACGCUCUUGUGUCCCAGCUGGUCCUCAGUAAUCAGAGGGGCUGGGUGAUGUCUGACUCAGUUCAGCAGGCUGAAUUAUUUCUUUAUUAUUACUAUGCUAAAAUACAUUAAUAUACUAUAUAAAAGAAGGAUACUAAAACUACAUACUACUUUAACUCCAACACAACUUGUGACCCUCUCUGAGAGCCCAGCCCCAGGUGGGUUGGAUUGGCCAUCAGCUCAAACAAUCCUCACCAGAAUCCAAUCAAGCAAUCACCCCAGGUAAUCAAUUCCCCAAACACAUUCCACAUGGGAAAAACAAGGAGCAGAAACAGAAAUUGUUCUCUCUUUCAUUUCUCUCUGUGCACUUCUGUGAAAAAUCCUGAGAGGGAGAGAAAAGUGUUUGCCACAAGUACUGCAGGCCUGGCUGAGUUCAGUGAGAGCUUGCACAAAUCCGAUGGCUGAUUCAAGCAAUGGGAAAGGAGAGUCAGGAUUACAGAAUUCAAAUUCAGGUAAAAAAUGCACUAACUUGCAGAGUGUUACUGUGUGUGGAGACAGAAGUGACAGGGAUAUUACUGAUGCAUCUAUGUACAUCUAUAACUAUAAAUAUCCAAAGGUCUGCUCCACUAUGGGUAUAGGUGACUUUCUGGCAUCCUGUCAGGACAGGAGGAGACACACAGUCCAUCAGCAGAUCCUGAGAAAGCAGAGGUGUUUCCCCCUCUCUUGUUUUAAUUCUCCUUUUUGUUUUCUUUGUCUGUCAGAGCUGCAGGCACACAGCACAGCCUGCCCAGGAGCUGUGCACGUGCAUCACCAGUGGCAGCAGGUCCCAGGCACUGGAAUUGGCACCAAGGCACAGCAGGGCAGUGCCUUGCACAAAUGUGCCAGUGAAACGUGUGCAUAUAUUGCAGCCAAAAUCUGGUGGUUUUGAGGGGCAGCUUGCCUGGGUUCAGCUGAUGCUAUUUCCCUGCAAUCCUCAGUUGAAACUACUGGCUCGAGUUGCUUAAUAUUCAGAAGAAUACAUCACUAAUUUAGUAUUUCUCUUUUUUUUUUUCCCCCUGGAAAAUUUCUGGGAUCUGUAGGUUUUAUGCACUCUGUCUCAUCACCACAGUUUUGCUUCUCGCAUCUCUGCCUUCCAAGCAGCUAAUUCAUUGAAACAAACUGUGUAAGAGAAAUAGAAUCAGGUAAGAAAAGUAUUGCUCUGUACUUUGCAACCAUCCUGCAAACAGAUAACACUCAUUAAAAUACCAAACUUGGUCUCAUCCAGCCUGUGAUCUGAGUGGGAUGCAAAGGUGAUUUCUUCUACUCUCAAAAAUUCCUUUUUCAAGAGUAAAUCAUCAUGUGUAGUGACAGUAAACAGCUUCAGAGACUCCCUGUUUGCUUCCUGGGGUGCAUUCAGCUUGGUGGGAGGAUGCACACUCCUGUUUCUGGGUGCCUUCAGCAGCAGGAGUGCCAUGGCCUGGUGCUGUGCCUCUGUCACAGGUCCCUUACACUCCCCCAGAAAAGGUGCACUGUUAACUCACAACUAUUAUGUUUUUAGGAGCAAUAUGUAUUUUAAAAUUUAAUUUUUAAUAUAUAUUUUUUAUUUUUUAAUUUCAUUUUUAAUAAAAUCCUUUUAUAAAAUAUACACUUAAAACCAUCAGCAAUGCCCAAUAAAUAAAUACCCAAGUAAUACCUUAUAUAUAUAUAUGCACCAAAUAAAUAUAAAAUAUACGUAUAUAAUAGAAAUAUCCUUUCCUACACAAUUUAGGGAAGAACUCAAAUAAAAGAUUCUAAACUUUAGCUUGAUGAUAUGCAUAUCUAUCAGCAUCUUACAGUAUUUGUUCAUUCAGCAUUAAAAUUGAUUCAAGGUGGUUUCUAGUAACAACAUCAUUUGCUCCUCCCCCUGCUCUUCACUCUUUUAAAUACCAUUUAAAUAUUUAAUGUAAGAUUUUUCCUUUGCUGUUUCUAUCCCAAGGUUAAAGCUUUUUAUUUCCAUGCAGCACUAAAAUGGACUUUUGAAAUAAGCAAUGUGGUUGCAAGGAUUGCAGCAAGGUUGGAUGUACAAUUAAGAUAAUGGUGGCACUAUCCAUCUGAAUAAUCAUUUAGAUAAUGAUUACUGUAUUGGAACAUUUUAUGAGGUACAUAAUAAAAGGGAAAUCAAAAGGAAUUCCCUUUGAAGAAAUAUUUGGCAUGGGUGGGUGCUGCAACAGCAUAUCUGAAUGAUAAAAGGUGUUCACUAAGACAAAGCUGUAUUCUCUGCUAGGGAAGAGGAGGAUUUAUUUUGUUGCUUUUUUUCCCUGUCCACAGUUAUUUUUUAAAUGCAAAGUGUUGCUUUCUUGAAUGCUCAGUUAUUUCUUGAAAGGAUAUG